Molecule: ribosomal RNA, 95 nt
Filed under: Pogona vitticeps (central bearded dragon)
Lineage: Eukaryota; Metazoa; Chordata; Lepidosauria; Squamata; Agamidae
Source: RNAcentral
CCAUGCUACUCUGAGCACACAUCUGAUUUUGGAAGCUAAGCAGUCCUAGGCCUUAUUGCUACUUGAAUGGGAGACCACCAGGGAUCUCCAGGCAG